RNAcentral lists this long non-coding RNA (275 nucleotides) under Olea europaea subsp. europaea. Lineage: Eukaryota; Viridiplantae; Streptophyta; Magnoliopsida; Lamiales; Oleaceae. The record is from RNAcentral.
AAUUGACACCCACCGAGUAUAGCUAGAUGACCAUGACAUGCACGCCGAAGAGAGCUUUUCGGACUGGGGUCAUAAUAGCGAUUCUGAUAACCGUAGUCAAAGUUAUGACAAAAUUACCAAAAACGUGUCAAAAUUACCCCAAUUAAGGAAGGAUUGCAUUUAUUUUCCAUCUUUGCGACUAUCCGCCAUCUCAUGGUAUCUCAACACCAUCAACGAGUUAUCUGACAGAUCAACGUCACUCGACUCGAAUCCUCCUGCAUCAUUAUUGGAGCGAC